Molecule: ribosomal RNA, 253 nt
Filed under: uncultured bacterium
Lineage: Bacteria
Description: partial 16S ribosomal RNA
Rfam family: Bacterial small subunit ribosomal RNA
Source: RNAcentral
UACGGAGGGUGCAAGCGUUAAUCGGAAUUACUGGGCGUAAAGCGCACGCAGGUGGCUGAGUCAGUCGAUUGUGAAAGCCCUGGGCUUAACCUGGGAAUUGCAGUCGGUACUACUCAGCUAGAGUAUGGGAGAGGGUAGUGGAAUUCCCGGUGUAGCGGUGAAAUGCGUAGAUAUCGGGAGGAACAUCAGUGGCGAAGGCGGCUACCUGGCCCAAUACUGACACUCAGGUGCGACAGCGUGGGGAGCAAACAGG